ACGCACGCUGGCGGCGUGCUUAACACAUGCAAGUCGAACGGAAAGGCCCUGCUUUUGUGGGGUGCUCGAGUGGCGAACGGGUGAGUAACACGUGAGUAACCUGCCCUUGACUUUGGGAUAACUUCAGGAAACUGGGGCUAAUACCGGAUAGGAGCUCCUGCUGCAUGGUGGGGGUUGGAAAGUUUCGGCGGUUGGGGAUGGACUCGCGGCUUAUCAGCUUGUUGGUGGGGUAGUGGCUUACCAAGGCUUUGACGGGUAGCCGGCCUGAGAGGGUGACCGGCCACAUUGGGACUGAGAUACGGCCCAGACUCCUACGGGAGGCAGCAGUGGGGAAUAUUGCACAAUGGGCGGAAGCCUGAUGCAGCAACGCCGCGUGCGGGAUGACGGCCUUCGGGUUGUAAACCGCUUUCGCCUGUGACGAAGCGUGAGUGACGGUAAUGGGUAAAGAAGCACCGGCUAACUACGG
This 466-nucleotide ribosomal RNA is filed under the name uncultured bacterium. Its description in RNAcentral is "partial 16S ribosomal RNA". It matches the Rfam family "Bacterial small subunit ribosomal RNA", at positions 29 to 506 of the family's 1533-position model. The record is from RNAcentral.